GGGAAGCAGCGGCCACCAGCGCGUGCAGCGGGGUCCUUGGCGGGGUGGCCGGGAAACGGCGGAGGGCGUCCGCGCGGGCAGCGGGGCGGGGCGGCCGGGUAGCGGCGGAGGGAAGCGGCACCCAGCGGCGGCGGCCUCGGCAGGAGAAGACGAAGGGCCGCCGGAUUACGUUCAUUCAAAGAAAAUGUGAAAGUUGGUUUCCCUAACUCGUUGAUCCACCAUUGUCUACGCGUUACAUAGGAUUUAUAUAAACCUGUCUAACUAAUCAAUCUAAUGAAAGUAGUCUCUUUAAUACACUUACGAUAACAACCGUAUUUGGACAGAUAUGUCGAAUAUCCCUUAGUGUCUGAAACACACGGACAUGCUUAAAGGGCCUCUCGGCGGUACCCGCGAGACCAACUGUGGUGGAAGAAGUGUAGAAGGGACCGCUCCUUUUGCAACGUGUGUGCCGAACUCCUUACUCCUGGGAGGGAGAGGAAGUCUCCUUACAAAUUAACGUUCAUCAUUUAGAAAGAAGGGCAGGUAUAGAACUGUCUAAACCGGUGGUUUAAUAAGUAGAGCUUAUGGACUUUGACGUUCGUAGUCUGGUUCGAUUCGUAGUAUAAGUUUCUUAUACGUUGAAAGGAUGUACUAAGUCAAAGAAAUUAAAGGAUAACGACUUGACAUAUCGCCAAAAACAAGUACGUAAACCCAAGAUAUCAGGAUGUAAUCCCAAGACGAGUCCCCUAAAACAAGUACGUACUAAGUGACAUGUUAUCCUAAACAACUCUUAAGUAUUUGUUAUUUUCAAAGGACGAACCCAGUGUUAAUGAGUUUAUCGUCGCCCGAGCCGGACGCGACCGCCGCCGCAACAGGGAGAGGAGGCAGCUCGCCACCGCGUCCUGCGUCGUCCGAACUGGAUUCAGCCGCCGCCCCGAACGGGGCUGUGUGGUCGGGUUCGCUGCGGCGACAGCUAGGUACGUGCGGCGGAUAGGACUGUACGGAGACCGGUAGUUAAGGCUACAGUACACCCUCGGAAGAGUAGGCACAUCCAAGAGGAGACGGGUGCAGAGCCCCGCUGGUGACGUCGGCUUCGACUACGCGGGGCAGCCGACUGCGCGGGUGGAGGGACUAUAAAGAGACACAUGCCCUAACUGGACGCCAAGACAACCACCAGAAGGGGUAGAAUCCGCAAACCUGAACCCUCCGUCACCUAGGCUCUCCGUGUCCCAACAAAUAAGUAAACUGAUACCACGGCGACGACAAGAUUUGCUGCGACGGCUGCUCGCUACUUGGUAGACCAUUACGUUUAGGAACACGGAAUCAUCACUACUCAUAGGCAGAUACUUCCGUUUAGUACAGAUGAAUGACUACUCUUAUAGGCAGAUACUUCCGUUUAGUACAGAUGAAUAACUACUAUCACACGCAAACUGUCACACAACUCUUAUUAACGCCACUAUACCUUUAAGAAUUGAACCUAUUAUUGUGAUCCCCGCUUGAACACAGACGACUUGAAACACAAUGCCUGGAAUAAGUUCGUCUCCGUUCUUAGUCGAAGGUCCCAGAGAGAAGGAAGCCCAUGUCCUUCUUCCACCCACUCAACGUCUCCCUUCGCCCCAACCCUUCUCGGAUGGCUCAGCUUCCUCCGGUGUUUGAAAAAAUAGAAGGCCCAACCUGAAACGGAAGAAGUCCAACCAGCUGACUGGGUAAACAAACUACGAAGUACGUGAAGAGAAGCAGUCAAUUGAAUCAUAAAGAAGUUGACAACAAAAAGAAACAGUCAAUUGAGGAAGUCAAACGCAAGAACAGGAGCCACGUCUGUUGGAAGAUAACGUCCAGAGAUGGUGAAACCAGGUUGUCGGGCUGAUGGUACGUACACCUAGUGUGCACUAAUCUUUCUACCUGUACCGAAACUGAUUUAUCAAAACACAAAAAGAACCAAAUAGUAACAAGAUUAGUACUUCAAACCAUCCACCACCGGCAAAUUAUAUAUAUAUAGUGAACCCAAACCUAUUAUGUGAAAUGGUAUGUAAGACAUAUUUACGUUACGGAUACAAAAAAUAAAGAUUUCACUUAAGUAUUGGACUCUUAUGAUACUACCCCGAUUAGACUUAUACCGUUAGGUACUAUACAGGACUACGAGUCAAAAUAACUGUAAUGGUUCUCUUUCUUAUGAAACUACAUCGUAUAGACGUUACAAGUACAUACCACUGGUUCGAGAAGAAAAAGUGAUGAGCGGUUGAAUUCAGUCAUAUCAAGUGUAAAGUAGACUCGGUUAAGUCUCUAAUUAUGUACUAAAGAAGGAGUUAAAGAUGUAGUCUAGUAGAUUUUUAGAUUUUUAAAGAAUAGGUUCAUAAUUAGAAGCAACAAGUCUUAAACUGAUACAUUCACACACCUACACGACUUGGUCUGAUAUAGAAGGCACCAACGGUGUAGGAUUGUAUUCGAUUUUGUAAGAAUCGAUACCUAGAAGAAAGAAAAAAAUCUCAUUAUCAACUAAACAACAAAGUAUGAUUACGGCAAAUUUUAUAUUGAUACAAAAUAAGGAGUCUCUCGUUAGUAUGUCCCCUUAUAUUACAACACAAACACGUAGGAGUAAACCGUUCUCAAGUAUUAUGAUAAACAGAGACAUACUGUCAUGAGUCGUAAUCAACUACGUCUUAUACAGAUAUGAAAAUGGUUCCUCAAGAUUACUAAACUCCUAACGUAUACACGUCGAGUCUGUAACGAAGACAUGUGGUGAUUACUAAGCUCCUAAUAUAAGACGUUCCUUGGUUAAAAAUUACCGGCGCCGUUGGUACUAGUCGAAGAGUUUUUCGGUUCCACGAUCCAUGUUUAGUUGAAUUACAAAUAAACUUGUUUGUGUCUUAAAACGAACUAGAAGUCUAUCUCCGUAGCUAACCCUCCUUGGCUAUAUCCCGCGGCGCCGACCAUAGGGUCACGACUAGGAGAGGCUAAUCAAAGGGACGCGAAGUGGAAGGACGUGCGAAAAUAGUUAUGCUGCUAGAAGAGGGAAGCUCAAGACGGUAUUGUUCACGGCGUUGAACGUGGACUAGACGGUAUCGAGGAUGUCUCGGGCGCCCCAGCUGUCGCACCUCGCGUAGGUGAGCCUGAUGCCGGCGUCGGCGCGGCAGCAGUUCUACGAGACCAGACAGGUCAAGUGCACAGCGUUAUCUCUCAUGGCGGAGUGCCACAAGGACGUACUAUGCCGUACCUCCUGGUGAACGUGGGGAACGACACUAGGACCAUGUUCCGGGCGAAGACGGUGCCCGGCGACGACACCGUCGUAGAAGAAGGGGUCAUAGCUGCUGAGCUUGUAGUGGUCUGUCUCGUAGUACCCGCCGUAGAGGUAGGGGAGGCGAUGCCGUUCCUAAACCGGCUCCUACAACUGCUCGUCCGCAAGGAGUCCCGGUUGUUACCACUCGACAAGGUAGAGACGACGCGCCCCUAUCUCGAGCAGCAAUACUGUAGGCCGACCAUACACCAUCUCCGGCACCGCCUCCGUUUCUGCUGGAGUAGUAACAACGGUUAUUCCUGUACUAGAGUCAAGUUUACGUACACGGCUGCUUUGGAAACCAUUUUAUAUUAUUCUCCAUCAUUAAUUUAAAAGAGUUACAUAGAUACUAAAAAAUUCUGUAUUAUAUUAUCUAACUUGUAAAUCAAAUGUACAUGAGUUUAAGGGAAAUCAAAUAAACAUGUCCACUACUCGAAGAAUAAAAUAGUGAUGGAAGGAGACUAAAAGAGAGACAUAUAAUAGUACAUGUUAUAAAGAUAAAUACAGUCUGACAGUUUGAUAAUAUAAAAGACAAUAGGGAUAACAAAAUAAUAAACACACGUAUAAAAGAAAGGUCUAAACGUAAAAACCACUAUUAGAUAUAGAGAAUAUAUCACACUACUUACUAUAUAUAAUAAUUAGGUUUAUAACUACAAAUAUGUUGGUUUAGAGUAACUUUAUAUAACGUUGCCCAGGGCGGCGUUGUGCGCCCCGUAGUAGAUCAAUAAAUAUAUCCGGUUAUACUACAAGCGUUACUACGUGCCCGUAGUCUAAAUGAUAUAUAUAUCCGGUUAUUCC
This 4051-nucleotide ribosomal RNA is filed under the name Triticum aestivum (bread wheat). RNAcentral describes it as "partial small subunit ribosomal RNA". Lineage: Eukaryota; Viridiplantae; Streptophyta; Magnoliopsida; Poales; Poaceae. The record is from RNAcentral.